GUGGGGGAUAUUGCACAAUGGGGGAAACCCUGAUGCAGCGACGCCGCGUGAAGGAAGACGUACUUCGGUAUGUAAACUUCUAUCAGCAGGGAAGAAGAUGACGGUACCUGACUAAGAAGCCCCGGCUAACUACGUGCCAGCAGUCGCGGUAAUACGUAGGGGGCAAGCGUUAUCCGGAUUUACUGGGUGUAAAGGGAGCGUAGACGGUGAAGCAAGUCUGAUGUGAAAACCCGGGGCUCAACUCCGGGAUUGCAUUGGGAACUGUUUUACUUGAGUGCUGGAGGGGCAAGCGGAAUUCCUGGUGUAGCGGUGAAAUGCGUAGAUAUCAGGAAGAACACCGGUGGCGAAGGCGGCUUGCUGGACAGUAACUGACGUUGAGGCUCGAAAGGGUGGGGAGCAAACAGGAUUAGAUACCCGAGUAGUCC
This 425-nucleotide ribosomal RNA is filed under the name uncultured bacterium. RNAcentral describes it as "partial 16S ribosomal RNA". It matches the Rfam family "Bacterial small subunit ribosomal RNA", at positions 354 to 796 of the family's 1533-position model. The record is from RNAcentral.